UGAAGAAUCCUGGACAAUGGGCGAAAGCCUGAUCCGGCGAUACCACGUGAAUGAUGAAGGCCUUAGGGUUGUAAAGUUCUUUUAGUGAAGAUGAAAAUGACAGUAUUCACAGAAAAAGUCCCGGCUAACUUCGUGCCAGCAGCCGCGGUGAUACGAAGGGGGCAAGCGUUACUCGGAAUUAUUGGGCGUAAAGCGUGCGUAGGCGGGGUUACAAGUUGCAAGUGAAAGCCUUUGGCUCAACCAAAGAAUUGCUUGCAAAACUGUAAAUCUUGAGUCCUAGAGAGGACAGAGGAAUUCCUGGUGUAGGGGUGAAAUCCGUAGAUAUCAGGAGGAAGGUCAAAUGCGAAGGCAUCUGUCUGGAUAGGUACUGACGCUGAGGUACGAAAGCGUGGGGAGCAAACAGG
RNAcentral lists this ribosomal RNA (404 nucleotides) under uncultured bacterium. Its description in RNAcentral is "bacterial SSU rRNA". It matches the Rfam family "Bacterial small subunit ribosomal RNA", at positions 355 to 776 of the family's 1533-position model. The record is from RNAcentral.